UACGAAGGGGGCUAGCGUUGCUCGGAAUCACUGGGCGUAAAGCGCACGUAGGCGGAUUGUUAAGUCAGGGGUGAAAUCCUGGAGCUCAACUCCAGAACUGCCUUUGAUACUGGCGAUCUUGAGUCCGGGAGAGGUGAGUGGAACUCCGAGUGUAGAGGUGAAAUUCGUAGAUAUUGGGAAGAACACCGGUGGCGAAGGCGGCCAUCUGGACCGCAACUGACGCUGAGGCGCGAAAGCGUGGGGAGCAAACAGG
Molecule: ribosomal RNA, 253 nt
Filed under: uncultured bacterium
Lineage: Bacteria
Description: partial 16S ribosomal RNA
Rfam family: Bacterial small subunit ribosomal RNA
Source: RNAcentral